CAGUAGCCGCGGUAAUGCGUAGGGUGCGAGCGUUAAUCGGAAUUACUGGGCGUAAAGCGUGCGCAGGCGGUUGUGUAAGACGGGUGUGAAAUCCCCGGGCUUAACCUGGGAACUGCGCUUGUGUCUGCACAGCUAGAGUAUGGCAGAGGGGGGUGGAAUUCCACGUGUAGCAGUGAAAUGCGUAGAGAUAUGGAGGAACACCGAUGGCGAAGGCAGCCCCCUGGGCCAAUACUGACGCUCAUGCACGAAAGCGUGGGGAGCAAACAGGAUUAGAUACCCCCGUAGUCCCUGUCUCUUAUAC
RNAcentral lists this ribosomal RNA (301 nucleotides) under uncultured bacterium. RNAcentral describes it as "partial 16S ribosomal RNA". It matches the Rfam family "Bacterial small subunit ribosomal RNA", at positions 509 to 807 of the family's 1533-position model. The record is from RNAcentral.